RNAcentral lists this ribosomal RNA (1920 nucleotides) under Triticum aestivum (bread wheat). RNAcentral describes it as "partial small subunit ribosomal RNA". The record is from RNAcentral. Lineage: Eukaryota; Viridiplantae; Streptophyta; Magnoliopsida; Poales; Poaceae.
AUGUCUCUCAGCUGGUGCUGGUUCUUGGUCUUGGUCGGGGUGUGGUGGCUGCGACUGAUGCUCGUGGUGGCCGAGGAGCAGCAGGGGGGAGGCUGCUCGGCCAAGAUGUGUGGCAAUGUCAUCAUCUUCCAUCCGUUCUGGCUCACAGACAUAGAGAUGGGAAGAUCAUGCGGUUCUGCUUCCUACCAGGACUUCGAUGUUGCCUGUCUUAACCGCAGUCAUCCAACUCUACGGAGCUCUGUACUCUUCAACAUCGGCUUUGAAAUCCUCAGCAUCUCUUACGACCAACGCAGCUUGUAUGCGGUUGAUCUGGACAAGCUGGAUUUAUGUCGUGCCCGCAACAGCUGCCAUGUACCGAUCUGGAACACCUCAGUCAAACUGAACGGCCCAUUUAGGAUCGACCCCGGCAACCUGAACCUCAUCCUGUACAACUGCACGGCGGCAGCGGCGGCCUCGGCACGUUGGGACAGAGGCCUCGUGCAGACGAGCGUGAGAUGCGCGAACGAGUGGGAGGUGCUUGUCCGCGCGGGAGUACCUCACGACGCCACAGGGGACUACGCCGGCUAUGCAUUGGAAGGCUGCGCUGCUACCGUCGUGCCCGUGUCGGGCUCGUCGGCGGGGCCGGGGAUAAACGGGAGCGGCUACGAGCAGCUCUUGAACGAUGGCUUCCGCUUGACAUGGAGUAGCCCGCCUCAGCCCACUCUCCUUCCACGUAGCAAGACAACUCGCACGAGGAUUAUAACAAUAGCUUUGAUAUCAGCAGCUGCAGCACUGCUCUUCCCAUGUAUUUAUGUGCUGAUAUGGUAUAUGACGGGUAAAAGAAACUGGUUUCUUCUCUGGAAAAAGAAAAGCAGCAGCGCUGAAAGGCAAUAUGAGGCCAUGAUAGCGUCGUAUGGAUCACUUGCUCCAAAAAGAUACACAUACUCAGAGGUAAUGAAGAUGACGUCUUCUCGCCAUAAGCAGCUUGGUCAAGGUGGUUAUGGUGUCGUUUUCGAAGGAAAGGUACCUGAUGGUCAUCUGGUUGCUGUGAAAUUCUUGCACGACUGCAAAGGGAAUGGGGAGGAGUUUGUGAAUGAGGUUAUGAGCAUUGGCAGGACCUCUCAUGUCAAUGUUGUUAGCCUGUUUGGAUUUUGUUUGGAGGGAUCAAAACGAGCUCUUAUAUAUGAGUACAUGUGCAAUGGUUCCUUGGAUAGAUACAUUUACUCAGACAACCCAAAAGAAAUUUUAGGAUGGGAGAGGCUGUAUGCGAUAGCGAUUGGGAUAGCCCGUGGACUGGAAUAUUUGCACCAUAGUUGUAAUACACGGAUCAUUCAUUUUGACAUUAAGCCUCAAAAUAUCCUUCUAGACAAGGAUUUUUGUCCAAAAAUUGCCGAUUUUGGUCUUGCAAAACUGUGCCGUAACAAGGAGAGCAAGCUUUCAAUGAUUGGUGCUAGAGGUACAAUUGGAUUCAUUGCUCCAGAAGUUCACUCACGAAACUUUGGACUUGUUUCAACAAAGUUAGAUGUUUAUAGUUAUGGAAUGAUGUUGCUAGAGAUGGUUGGAGGCAGGAAAAAUGUGAAAUCAAUGGCUGAAAAAUCAAGCGAAAAAUAUUUCCCAGAUUGGAUUUAUGAUCACUUUGCUCAAGACGAUGGAUUAGAAGCAUGUGAAGUUACAAAUGAUAUUGAGGAAAUUGCAAGUAAGAUGACCCUGAUUGGCUUGUGGUGCAUACAAGUAUUACCUGUGUAUCGUCCUAGUAUAACAAAAGUGGUAGAAAUGUUCGACAAAAGCUUAGAUGACAUGGCCAUGCCACCGAAGCAAAACUUCAGUGGACUACUCGAAAAUUCAGCUCACAAUAUGAACGUACAAAGUGCAAGCUCUAUGACAUCCGAGGAGAUAAGGCUUGUGAAUUCCGGAAGCACACAACAAUUUCCACCUCUUUGA